UCUUAACAUCACAAUGGUUCUUCUAGCUCAGAGUUCCAAAGUCCUUCCACAGUCCUCCCCAAAACAUGGUCAGGUUGUCACAGGAAUUCCCCACUCCUGGUACCAAUUUGUCUAAGACAUGGGUUUUUAUUCCUGCACAAACAUCAUGAUCAAGAAACAAGUUGGGGAGGAAAGAGUUUAUUCAGCUUACACUUCCUCAUGCUGUUCAUCACCAAAGGAAGUCAGGACUGGAACUCAAGCAGGUCAGGAAGCAGGAGCUGAUGCAGAGGCCAUGGAGGGAUGUUACUUACUGUCUUGCUUCCCCUGGCUUGCUCAGCUUGCUUUCUUAUAGAACCCAAGUCUACCAGCCCAGGGAUGGCAUCACCCACAAUUGGCCCUCCCACCUUAAUCACUAAUUGAUAAAAUGCCCCACAGCUGGAUCUCAUGGAGGCAUUUUCCUCAAGGGAGGCUCCUUUCUCUAUAACUCCAGCUUGUGUCAAGUUGACACAAAACCAGUCAGUACACUUAACUCCCAGGAUACUGGGGAGACAACACAAAGGAUGGGUAGCCAGGGGGGUGGCUGCUCUGUCUUCAUGGAAAUCUCCACAGGGGAUUGGACCCUCCACUACAGGAUCAUGGACAGCUGCUCCCCCACAUGCCACCAAAAUGAUGUCUGCCUGAAGAAGAUGGAGAGUAGCCCUAGGCCUUUCGUGACCUCUUCUUGAGCUGUGUUGCUGCUUCAGGACCCUCCAGCCACACGCACUCCAGGUUCUGCGACUCUGUGAUUCUAUUCUGGAAUCUCCUCCGCUUUCCUAUCCUUUCCUUCUGACCAAAUUCUACAUUCACGUUGAGGUCAGCCAGUGCGCAUCACAAAGCCUUGCCAACUCUUCUGCUUAGAGCAAGUCGCUCUCAUCAGCAGCACCCGCAGCACCCUGCCUCAGCAGAUGCUUCGAAAUGUGUCCCCUUCUGAGCCAGAGAGCUCAGUCGAUAAGGCCUCAGAAGAAUUCCUGACACUCUGAGGGAACCACACCAAGCCUUUCAAGUGUUCUCCUGGGCCUCAUCUUCUGUCUACAUCACCCAGCCAAGAUACAAGCCUGCCACUGAGCUCAGCAGAUGUCCGUGGUAUGAAUGGAUUCUGAGCAGACGGCACAAAAAUGAAGAAGAUGGGAGAAUGGUUGGGAGCCACCCUCUAAUAGAGGAUUACAUUUAAAUACAUUAAAGAUGGGAGCUGUUGUAUGAGUUAGCAUAGCAACAAUGACCUUAUCAUUUCCAAUCCGACAGUACAGAUGGAUGUUCUCAUUGUCUUAAAAAUAGGUCCACGAUGUUACCGCAGGAUUGAUGGAUGGAAGUGCAUGAUUGACAAUUGAAAAUGGGAUUGUGGCUAUAUUCAACCCAGGAAACUGGGGAAUCUUGGGAAGGAAUAUUUAAAAUCCAGACUCCCAAGAGCCAGUAAACCAAUUAGACAAUAGCAAGAUGAGCUUUGCUAGGAUAAGGGAGACCCUGGGCGACAUUUCCAAGCCAAGCCUGGGCAUAGCUGAUUUUCCACCCUGAGCAGCUGAGGUGCUGCUCACUGUAG
This 1555-nucleotide long non-coding RNA is filed under the name Mus spicilegus (steppe mouse). RNAcentral's name for it is "lncRNA (ENSMSIG00000012923.1)". The record is from RNAcentral. Lineage: Eukaryota; Metazoa; Chordata; Mammalia; Rodentia; Muridae.